RNAcentral lists this transfer RNA (72 nucleotides) under Dipodomys ordii (Ord's kangaroo rat). It matches the Rfam family "tRNA". From Rfam's summary of the family: Transfer RNA (tRNA) molecules are approximately 80 nucleotides in length. Their secondary structure includes four short double-helical elements and three loops (D, anti-codon, and T loops). The record is from Rfam by way of RNAcentral. Lineage: Eukaryota; Metazoa; Chordata; Mammalia; Rodentia; Heteromyidae.
GAGAAGUUGGCUCAGUGGUAGAGUGCUUGCCUCGAAUGCAUGAGGCCCUGGGUUCAAUUCCUCAGCUCCACA